GAAGUUCCCGGAUGGUCGCAGCCUCCUGGCGCUGAGCGCUUUUCCUGCCCGCCCGGCACAGCCCUGCGGACCCCGGGAGAAGUUUCCCAGAAAAAAUGCCCAGCGCGGCGCGGGGCUGUGGAGUCGUCUGGAGCCGCUGCGCGGCUGGAGUGCAGUAGUGCCAUCAGUUCACUGCAGCCUCGACUUCCCAGGCCCAAAUGAUCCUCCUACCUUAGCCUCCCAAGAGUUUUGCAUCCCUUGCUUUGGCUGAGAAGAGGAUAAAACCUAGAAAGAAGUCUAAGCAAGACCGAGUGUGGUGGCUCACUCCUGUAACCCCAGCACUUUGGGAGGCCAAGGUGAGAGGAUGGCUUGAGUCCAGGAGUUCAAGAACAGCCUGGGCAACAUGGCAAAACCCCAUUAAAUACAAAAAUUAGCUGGACGUCGUUGUGCACACCUGUAGUCCCAGCUACUCAGGAGACUGAGGUGGAUCACUCAAGCCUAGGGAAGUAGAACCGUGAUUACACCACUGCACUCCAUCCUGGGCAACAGAGUAAGACCCUGUCAAA
This 545-nucleotide small RNA is filed under the name Pongo abelii (Sumatran orangutan). Its description in RNAcentral is "processed transcript". Lineage: Eukaryota; Metazoa; Chordata; Mammalia; Primates; Hominidae. The record is from RNAcentral.